Molecule: ribosomal RNA, 1158 nt
Filed under: Salmonella enterica subsp. enterica serovar Muenster
Lineage: Bacteria; Pseudomonadati; Pseudomonadota; Gammaproteobacteria; Enterobacterales; Enterobacteriaceae
Description: partial 23S ribosomal RNA
Rfam family: Bacterial large subunit ribosomal RNA
Source: RNAcentral
GGGUUGUGAGGUUAAGCGACUAAGCGUACACGGUGGAUGCCCUGGCAGUCAGAGGCGAUGAAGGACGUGCUAAUCUGCGAUAAGCGCCGGUAAGGUGAUAUGAACCGUUAUAACCGGCGAUUUCCGAAUGGGGAAACCCAGUGUGACUCGUCACACUAUCAUUAACUGAAUCCAUAGGUUAAUGAGGCGAACCGGGGGAACUGAAACAUCUAAGUACCCCGAGGAAAAGAAAUCAACCGAGAUUCCCCCAGUAGCGGCGAGCGAACGGGGAGGAGCCCAGAGCCUGAAUCAGCAUGUGUGUUAGUGGAAGCGUCUGGAAAGGCGCGCGAUACAGGGUGACAGCCCCGUACACAAAAGCGCAUGUGCUGUGAGCUCGAUGAGUAGGGCGGGACACGUGGUAUCCUGUCUGAAUAUGGGGGGACCAUCCUCCAAGGCUAAAUACUCCUGACUGACCGAUAGUGAACCAGUACCGUGAGGGAAAGGCGAAAAGAACCCCGGCGAGGGGAGUGAAAAAGAACCUGAAACCGUGUACGUACAAGCAGUGGGAGCACCCUUUGGGGUGUGACUGCGUACCUUUUGUAUAAUGGGUCAGCGACUUAUAUUCUGUAGCAAGGUUAACCGUAUAGGGGAGCCGGAGGGAAACCGAGUCUUAAUUGGGCGUUAAGUUGCAGGGUAUAGACCCGAAACCCGGUGAUCUAGCCAUGGGCAGGUUGAAGGUUGGGUAACACUAACUGGAGGACCGAACCGACUAAUGUUGAAAAAUUAGCGGAUGACCUGUGGCUGGGGGUGAAAGGCCAAUCAAACCGGGAGAUAGCUGGUUCUCCCCGAAAGCUAUUUAGGUAGCGCCUCGUGAAUUCAUCUCCGGGGGUAGAGCACUGUUUCGGCUAGGGGGCCAUCCCGGCUUACCAACCCGAUGCAAACUGCGAAUACCGGAGAAUGUUAUCACGGGAGACACACGGCGGGUGCUAACGUCCGUCGUGAAGAGGGAAACAACCCAGACCGCCAGCUAAGGUCCCAAAGUCAUGGUUAAGUGGGAAACGAUGUGGGAAGGCCCAGACAGCCAGGAUGUUGGCUUAGAAGCAGCCAUCAUUUAAAGAAAGCGUAAUAGCUCACUGGUCGAGUCGGCCUGCGCGGAAGAUGUAACGGGGCUAAACCAUG